UUUAGAGUAACAAUGAUAGCAGCCCCAAUGAGAGAAUUAAAGACCUAGAGAAAUACCUGUGAAAGUUUGUUUUUCAAUGAAAAAUAAAAAUAAUCAGAGAUGAAGAUUGAAUGAAUGAAACAGCUUUGUUGUUAAACCAGAACACCCCAAGACAGAUGUGACUAAACUAGCAGCAUGAUACAACCUAUGAGAACCAUGAGUGAAAAUGUCCAAGCCCUAGAACUGCCAUGGAGAAUUUCGGGGUACAAUCUGUCCUGCUGUGGGUAUUUCAUUUACAAGGGGAGGAACCAAAGAAGAGACGUUGUUUUCUACAGGAAAUUGUCUGUGACAAGCCAGGAUAUGUUCUGGACGAGAGUUCCUGUCUUUGUGUUGCCACUGAACCACGGCCUCUGGAAUGUGAGCUCGCUGAUGUGAACUUUGUAUCAGGAGCUGCCUUUUUCAUCAGUUAUUUGGAAGGAAGAGGAUAGUUUAUCAGAAGAUACUGAAGAAGAUUUCUGUCAGUGCAGGAAGAGUGAAUUUUGCAGCAAAAAUAACUGAACCAAGCAAGUAGCACACUUUUAAAGCAGCCUUCUGGAGUCUGUGCCAGCACUAGUCUGGUGUGAGAAUUGACCUGAAUGUGUAGAGUGGCCAAGCAAUUAAAUUGGUGUGAUCAAGAGGAAGGUAAGUGCUAUCCAAAAGAAGAAAGGACAGCCUUCAGGAAUUCCAGACAACGAAGCAGGAUGAGAUUCUGUUUUCUCAGUUAACAACAAUUCCUAGAAUGGCUUGGAGUGGACUCCAGAUGUGUGUUUCUGAAAUCCCUUUAGCCUUUCACACGGGGCAGGAAACAGUUAUUUCUGUCUGCUUGGGCUAGAGCUGUUGGCAAUGGAAUCGUCAAAACAAGCGAACAAAACAACAGCAGCAGAAAUAAAACCUGUGUUGUGGAAAAGCCAGAAGCGAAGGGGAUUCAUUAUUUUCAUAGCAUGUAACAAACCACAUCCAUUGCAAACUUUGGAGGAUAUAGGGGAAAACAGAGUCCGAACCACUUGCCAGUUACAAUGGAACUUGAAAUAGUAAAAGAAGGGGAUCAGUUCUGCUUCUCAAAAUGGUUUGCCAGUCCUUCCUCUUUGGAGCCAGGAGGUCCUGCUCUGGGACUCCUUUCUGCUGGGAGAGCGUGGUCUGUGUCUGCUAGCAGCAGGAGAGAGGCUGUUCUGCCCAUACAAAUGGAUUAAUUCCUAAUUGGUUUUAGUACUUAUGGGACCCAUCUGUCUGAAGUAGCAAAAGCCUGUGCUGGAAGAAAGAUUAAUUUGUCUGUGAAGAGGAGGAUGAAUAGCAUAGCUGGCUGUGGUGGAAGUGGCUGGCAUUCUUCAGACAGAUCUUUAGGGUAUUGUCACUACUGUAUGCCUCUGAAGCAAUGUGCUGCGAUUGAUUUGAUGACAAUGCAGAUCAAUUGGAGACGUGGUGAGGUCUGGUGUUGUGACUCGAUUGCCAGGAUAUCAUGGUUAUUUCUAAAAUCUCCAUACAAAAUUCAAGAGAAAUAACUGAGCAAGCAGCUUACGUUCAUCAGCCUCUUUUCUCUGAGUCUAAAAAGAAAACUUGCAGUUUUGCUACAGAUCUUGUGGGAGAAGUUGUCUUUUGUCAUGCUUUGUUGUUAAUUCAGUCCUUUUUGUAGUGACUGCAGCUACAAGAGAAUUUAGGUUGGCUGAACAGGAAACUAAUGCGUUCUCUUAGUAUAGAAUUCCUAUCCUUUGAUCAGGUGCCUCUGAAAGGAAGCUGGGUGUUGUCAGACGGCGUGGCCUGGAUAUCAAAGUGCCGUAUUGAUAAGCAGUGGCAAGAUAUCAAGGGCUGAUGAAUGUGAAAGAAGAAAGGAUCCAUGGUUACCUCCAGACUGUAUAAUGAGCUGGGUGUACUGGGCAAGCAGACUGCCUGAUACGAGUGCAUUCCUUGGUGCUGUGGAUAGCCUCAAGUCGGUGAUGCUGGAGAUAUUUCUCCUUUCUGCUCUUAAAGGGGAUAUACUAGGCUGCAAAGCUGUUGGAUGCCAGCGCUGUUAACCUAACCUCCAUUGAGCGUCUCCGGAGAUCACUGCUGUUUACUGAGCUGAUUUUUGACUCUAGCUGUCUUUUGAGGCUGUUUUCAGGACAGAAAAAUAGCGCAUGAAGGUUUUGGCUCUGUUUGAAAGCCAAAAGUUGGAACUCCUGACUUUGACACCUUUCUUGCUGAGGUAUGAGGAGACGUCUUAUAAAGGACACAGCCAAAAGAUGCCUAAUUCUUAAAGCCUCUUGGAUUUCAGUUAAAACUGGAUGGGUUCUGGUUUUGCCCGCGUAGGGGAAGGGACUCCUAACAUGGUUGUGAGGAGCUGAAGCCAACAAAGUAUUGUCCCUCAAUUGAAGGAUUCAGAAGGAAAGUAGAUGAUGCAUUUAAAUAGCAAAUGCAGGGAGAAUUGCUGUGGUUUAACUUCAGCAGUUGAAAUGGAAGAGUAUUUUCCAACCCUUUUAUAGUUGUGAGCUGUAUUGGGGAUCGCUCUUGGGAAGUGUUGAGGCAGUCAGGGUGAAGUCCUCUGGCUAACAGUACUUGCAUGUGGCUGCACUGGUGGUUUGGUACGUGUAAGCAGACGUUCAGAGGAAAAGGUAACCAGACAGAAAGUUAAAAAUGGGGAGGUUAACAAGAACAUUA
Oxyura jamaicensis (ruddy duck) is the source of this 2649-nucleotide long non-coding RNA. RefSeq lists it as uncharacterized. The transcript is spliced from 2 exons. Lineage: Eukaryota; Metazoa; Chordata; Aves; Anseriformes; Anatidae. The record is from RefSeq and is a predicted model, not a curated record.